This is a non-coding RNA of Prionailurus viverrinus (fishing cat), 647 nucleotides long. The record is from the annotation of a RefSeq genome assembly. NCBI's taxonomy places the organism in Eukaryota, Metazoa, Chordata, Mammalia, Carnivora, Felidae.
UUGCAUGGUUGGGCCCUCCCCCUCUCAACACAUCAAGAGGUGAAGGGAGAGGUUGAGGGAGGCUCUGCUCAGCUGUGAGGCAACAGAAGGCAGGAUCGGUGCUGACCUCCGCCAUGGCCUGGUCCCCUCUCCUCCUCACCCUCCUCGCUCACUGCACAGGGAUUUGGGCUCAGUCGGGGCCGAAUCAACCAUCCUCGGUGUCUGGGGCCCUGGGCCAGAGGGUCACUAUCUCCUGCACUGGAGUUGGUAGUUCCGUGGAUUGGUACCAACAAAUCCCAGGAAAGGCCCCCAAAACCAUCAUCUAUGUUAAUAGCAACCGACCCUCAGGGGUCCCUGAUCGAUUCUCCGGCUCCAAGUCUGGCAGCACAGGCACCCUGACCAUCACUGGGCUCCAGGCCGAGGACGAGGCUGAUUAUUACUGCUCAUCGUGGUACAGCAGUGGCAUUGGUGACUGGUCAGUGUUGACUCAGCCGCCGUCCGUGUCGGGGUCCCUGGGCCAGAGGGUCACCAUCUCCUGCACUGGAAGCAGCUCCAACAUCGGGGGUGGCCCCUCUCCAUCCUGCAGCAGCUCCCCGGGGGAAUCAGCUUUCUCCCCAGUGCACCCCAUCCUGCACCAUAACCAGGGUAUCCGGGAGGCCAACCCCUAG